Non-coding RNA from Nicotiana tabacum (common tobacco), 1573 nucleotides. The record is from RefSeq and is a predicted model, not a curated record. NCBI's taxonomy places the organism in Eukaryota, Viridiplantae, Streptophyta, Magnoliopsida, Solanales, Solanaceae.
UAACACAACUCUAAAUUUCAAAUGCCAUUUUCAUUUGAAAUUAUUUUUUACCAUUUUUUUGAAUUUUAUAAUUUGUAUGUCCAAACGCCUGUUUAGUCCUUGGGAUGAGAUCAUCACUCUAAUUCACAUAGAGAGAAACACCCUUCUUAUAUAAAGAGUUUAUAGUAAAGAAUGAAAAUAAUCAGACGAUAAAAAGGAUAGACCCAUCUACAUGACCAUAAAGAUCAUGACUAUGUAUAAACAUGACAAAUAACGCCUUUCAAAUUGUGAUGUUUUGGCUGCCAUGUAAUUUUAUUGGCAAUUAUAACACGAGAUUAAAUUGGACGACCAUCGCACCAAUAUUGUUAUUAGCAUUAACAACUUUAGUAGUGUUGGCCAUUUGUGGAGAGGGGUAGAAGAAAAAAAAAGAUAGGAUCUUACUCAUUAGAGUUUGUUGAGGCGCUGAUACCAUAUAAGAACAAGAAUAAAGCACAAAAUUAAUUUGUUUAUUGAGUCAAUGCAACCUUUAAAUACAAGAGUGAAAAAUCAAUUCCCUAAACUAAUUUCUCCGAAGGAGGAGGACCACACUACUUGCUGAACAAACUCCUUGAAUGAGGAGAUUUAUUUGGAGAAGUUGGUUUCUGCUGCACCGGUCCCGGUCUGGCGAAGAGAACCUCGCUUCGCUGUCCGAGACUUUUCUGGUUUCUUUUGCUCCGGUCCGGGACUGGUGAAGUGAACCUCGCUUCGAUGUCCGAGACUUUUCUUUUUAGAUCCUUUUUCACUAAUUUUUCUCCUAUUUGAUCCUUUUCUGCAUAAGUUUGCUCCUACACAUAAGAAACACGUAAUGAGUAUAUUUUCACUUCAAAAGCGAUGUUAACUCCCACAACUCACACAAGAAAUAACAUAUAGACACACUCAAAACAUGCACUUUUCAUCCUUUAUCAAUAACUACAUUCCUAAAUUGAAAAGUUUGAAUAAUGUUAUCCCUAUUCAACUUUCUCUCUCUCUAUCUUUUUUUUUUUUGCGGAAUCAAUCUAAUUAGUUAAGGAAAAUUUCUAAGCAAAGUGGCUGUCUAGCUAUGUCCAGUUCUUAAAUUGUUGCUUUGAAUUCUUUGUGUUGUUAAGAUUUCUAAUGAUUAGUAGUAAGUACAGAGUAAGUGGCUGAUGGCUGCAGUUUUCGGUAUUAUCUUCCUUUGGAGGCAUGAUAUGGAAGCACUAUGGGCUACUUCAGGUGGAAUUAUCAAUAUUUGUCUCUCAAUUGUACUGAAGAGGAUACUUAACCACGAACGCCCUGUUUCAACAUUAAGAUAGGAAUGCCUUCUUCACGUGCCCAGUACAUCUUCUACACACUCACAUUCUGUAUACUCUCAAUCGUGGCUACGGGUUUCACAACAACUUCACACAUUAAACCAAGUAGUAGUGGGUGCUGAAAUAAGAUUCUGUUUUUCCAUUUUCUGGCUCUGGUUGUGGAAUGCCGUAGUCAUGAAGCCAAUUGUAGCCCACUUUUGGGUUCGGUUUGUAGCUGUUCUUGGGGCUACUGUUUUUUGUGUUGCUUUUCUCCUAUACAUUAUUCAAAAUUGGAGUUUUGAUGAUAA